This 390-nucleotide long non-coding RNA is filed under the name Phoenix dactylifera (date palm). RNAcentral's name for it is "long non-coding RNA (PDAC_LNC020890)". The record is from RNAcentral. Lineage: Eukaryota; Viridiplantae; Streptophyta; Magnoliopsida; Arecales; Arecaceae.
GGAGCGGCCCCGUUCACUGCCUUUUCAUAUUUUUGUAUACUCAAUUUGGUAAAAAAAGACUAAGUGGGACUGGGCACAAUUAAAUUUCCUAUAAAGUCGUCCAAAAGGCUCAAAUAUUGGUUUGGAUCUUCUAAUGUUUCUCUAUAAGAAGGAGAAAUUAUUAGGUGGACUAGGUCUUCCGUAGACCAAUAAUGAAAUUCAUCCUAGAAAUACAUUGCUAUUACACAUAAAAAGAAGAAAGAUGUGGGAAAAGGGGAUGAAUUUCAUCCUAUGUCCAUGGUGAAUCUGGUCUAUGUACCUGACUAUAUCAAUAGUGGGUGGUGUGGAAACAUUUUAACUAUGUACCUGACUAUAUCAAUAAGAACCAAAAUGGUUCGUUACUUGUAUCAU